GGUAAUACAGAGGGUGCAAGCGUUAAUCGGAAUUACUGGGCGUAAAGCGCGCGUAGGUGGUUCGUUAAGUUGGAUGUGAAAUCCCCGGGCUCAACCUGGGAACUGCAUUCAAAACUGUCGAGCUAGAGUAUGGUAGAGGGUGGUGGAAUUUCCUGUGUAGCGGUGAAAUGCGUAGAUAUAGGAAGGAACACCAGUGGCGAAGGCGACCACCUGGACUGAUACUGACACUGAGGUGCGAAAGCGUGGGGAGCAAACAGGAUUA
Molecule: ribosomal RNA, 262 nt
Filed under: Pseudomonas helmanticensis
Lineage: Bacteria; Pseudomonadati; Pseudomonadota; Gammaproteobacteria; Pseudomonadales; Pseudomonadaceae
Also listed under: 1 other name
Description: partial 16S ribosomal RNA
Rfam family: Bacterial small subunit ribosomal RNA
Source: RNAcentral